UAAUUGAAUAAUUUAACGAUUUCCCUUUCCUAUUUGAUAUUGAUUAGCUCAACAAUCCAUAUGUAAUGGAACUCUAUUCGCUUUUCUGAUUGUUGUAUAUUGUUGUAUAUAAAAUAAUAGAAUUAGGAAAUCCUCUAUUUACUAUUCACUGAAUAAUAACUUUUUUAUUGACAAAAGAAUAAAGAUCAUUUCUAUUUCAAGGUGGGGAGUUUUAUUUUCCCCAUCGAUCUA
RNAcentral lists this small RNA (231 nucleotides) under Solanum riparium. RNAcentral's name for it is "SprA". The record is from RNAcentral. Lineage: Eukaryota; Viridiplantae; Streptophyta; Magnoliopsida; Solanales; Solanaceae.